GGUGAGUAACACGUGGGCAACCUGCCUAGCAGACUGGGAUAACUCCGGGAAACCGGGGCUAAUACCGAAUAACAUCGAAAGCUUCAUGGUUUUCUUUUGAAAGGCGGCUUCGGCUGUCACUGCUAGAUGGACCCGCGGCGCAUUAGCUAGUUGGUGAGGUAACGGCUCACCAAGGCCACGAUGCGUAGCCGACCUGAGAGGGUGAUCGGCCACACUGGGACUGAGACACGGCCCAGACUCCUACGGGAGGCAGCAGUAGGGAAUCUUCCGCAAUGGACGAAAGUCUGACGGAGCAACGCCGCGUGAGUGAAGAAGGUUUUCGGAUCGUAAAACUCUGUUGUCAGGGAAGAACAAGUAUCGGAGUAACUGCCGGUACCUUGACGGUACCUGACCAGAAAGCCACGGCUAACUACGUGCCAGCAGCCGCGGUAAUACGUAGGUGGCAAGCGUUGUCCGGAAUUAUUGGGCGUAAAGCGCGCGCAGGCGGCCUUUUAAGUCUGAUGUGAAAGCCCCCGGCUCAACCGGGGAGGGUCAUUGGAAACUGGAAGGCUUGAGUGCAGAAGAGAAGAGCGGAAUUCCACGUGUAGCGGUGAAAUGCGUAGAGAUGUGGAGGAACACCAGUGGCGAAGGCGGCUCUUUGGUCUGUAACUGACGCUGAGGCGCGAAAGCGUGGGGAGCGAACAGGAUUAGAUACCCUGGUAGUCCACGCCGUAAACGAUGAGUGCUAAGUGUUGGGGGGUUUCCGCCCCU
Molecule: ribosomal RNA, 750 nt
Filed under: Pseudobacillus badius
Lineage: Bacteria; Bacillati; Bacillota; Bacilli; Caryophanales; Bacillaceae
Description: bacterial SSU rRNA
Rfam family: Bacterial small subunit ribosomal RNA
Source: RNAcentral